GAGACCCUAGUAAACUUCAAUAUUACACAAUCUUGUCAAGAUUGAAUAACGCGCCCCGUGAGUCUCC
Molecule: transfer RNA, 67 nt
Filed under: Rena humilis (western threadsnake)
Lineage: Eukaryota; Metazoa; Chordata; Lepidosauria; Squamata; Leptotyphlopidae
Description: Asp-tRNA
Source: RNAcentral